GCCUCUGUAGCUUAACGGUUAUAGCACCGCUCUCGUAAAGCGGAGGUUGAGGGUUCAAAUCCCUCCAGAGGCU
This 73-nucleotide transfer RNA is filed under the name Candidatus Woesearchaeota archaeon. RNAcentral describes it as "tRNA-Thr". It matches the Rfam family "tRNA". Rfam says of the family: Transfer RNA (tRNA) molecules are approximately 80 nucleotides in length. Their secondary structure includes four short double-helical elements and three loops (D, anti-codon, and T loops). The record is from RNAcentral. Lineage: Archaea; Nanobdellati; Candidatus Woesearchaeota.